UCUCCCCUCCUCUUCACUCCCUUCACCUCCCUUCCCCCUCUUUCUUCUUCCCUUGACUCCAGCCCCCUGUCGGCCGCCUAUCUCCCGAUGCCCCCUGGAUAGCUGUGCAGAGCCCUGAGCGACCCCUUCGGCCCGGAGCCGUCGGCUCCCCACGCUGUCCGUCACUCCUAAGCCAGCGCUGGGCUGAGCGAGGCAGCGGCGCUGUGGACCCCGCAGCCCCGCCGGGAAAACUCCCCUCGCUCCUCUGUCCUCGCUGCGACCGCCACCCUCAUUUCAUUUGAAUAGAAAACGGGAAAAGUUCCUUCUUGUUCACCCACUGCUUUCCCAAGCCUCCUCCAGCUGCGCCCAGAGCUGAAAUGGCGAUUUUAUUUCUGUCCUGUAUGGGGCCGGACCGAGGAUUACCCCGCCACAAGCUAUCUGCUGGGUUCUGCAUGUUCGUCCCCUACCCCCUUGUGUGAAUUGCUACAGGGAGUGUGGGAAAGGCGGGAGGGAAAGGGGGCUAUGGGCAUCCUCUGGACCCGCAGAGCGCAGAAGGGGCUGCCUUGGCCGCCCCCAGUUCUCCUGGGCUCCUCCAGUGGGAAUGGGGUUGGUGGCUGGGGGAGGAGGCUCAGAUGCCGUGGUCCUGGCCCUGGGUGUAUGUCGCCUUUGGAAGCAAGUAUCAAAGCCAGCCGGAGCAUGUGCUAUUGUUUCGUUGGAAGUGAGUUCCAAGCCACCGCUUUCCAUCUGUUGAGUGUCUGAGUGCUGCUUGUUGAGAGAGUCUGGUGCACACAGGCUCCUCCUUCCCGCUGGGGCCUGCUGGAGCCGGCCAGCCAGUGCCAGGGCCAGUGGUCACUUCCUCUCCCUUCCCUGGCCAGCCUGGUCUCCACCUGGUGGAUGGUCACAGGCUUUACAGACACCCCAGGGCCACCUGGAGCCCUGGUGGCAGCUGGGAUCCUGCGGAAGGUGAGGGCUCCCUGCCUGUUCGUGGGAGUGGCAUCGUCCUGUGAGGUAAGUGGUUGCCCUCAGCCUUUGGCCAGUCCAUCCUGUGUCACUUUAUGUCUCCCACCUGCUUUCAUGGCGGGGGGCGUGCUCCCAAAGAACAACAGCUUGGAACUCGAUAGCCUGGCACCCCCUGCCCACAGCUCCAGUGGAGUCUGUGUAAGAGCUUGGGCACCAUGAGCUGUGCUUUUCAAGUGACAGGGGUGAGAAGGGGACAGCCUGGAGGCCUUUGGGGUGGGGGGGCCCAGCUGGGUGGUUACAGUGGGACACCUGACUCGCCAUGGGGAUACUGUGUCCCGAGCUCAUUGAAGUGAGCACUAUUACUAGUAGUUCAAUUUGUUGUCAAAUGUUCCGGCGCUAUUUGGGCUAAUCCAGAGACUGUGCUGUUGGGGCCGCGUGUGCCGCCUGGCAUGGAGUUCUUAUCAGCAGAUGGCUCGUUGGCUUGCCACUUAGUUAUUCUCCAUCCCUUAUUGUCAUCUGGCCUAGUCUUCUGUAACCAUUUCCUCCAAGAGCCCCAGAAGGACGAGUGGCCACCCAUGGGGGGUGGUUCUGCAGGGCAGUUCCCCGGUCUCAGAAGACUCUGUGUGCAUCCAGCGCCAGUGCAGGCUGGCCCUAACACUGCCUGACUGAUUCUGUGCUCAGAAGAAUAAUCGCAUCUAUCAUUAUUUUGCACUCUUAGGAGCUGGACUGGACUGCUGUAUAGAAACUGGAUCGAUGGGGCUGCAGCAGCUGCCCAGAGAGGAACCCUUUCCUCUCCCAGAUCCCCAUGGAGCAGUGUGGUCUUCCGUUCAUCAACAAUCUCAUUCCUGUGUGUUGGGUGCUGUUCUGGGCGCUGGGGAUUCAGUAGUGAACAGAAUAAGCAGAGAUCCCUGGCCAGAGAAGCUGGCAUUCUCUGGGGGAGACAGACACGAUAGUAUAAAUAAAUAGAAUGUGUAGAGUGUUGCAUAAAAAUUAGGGCAAAGAAGAAAAAUCCACAGUGAGACCCUAUCUCUAAAAAAGAAAAAUCCUGUGGGGAAGGGGAGAUAGAACGUGCAGUGUGAAGGAGUUGGAAUUUUAGAGAAAGUGGCCAGGCAAAAGGUCACGUAGGAGGAAGGACCUCAUGGGCAUUAGGAGCAAGAAGCCUGUGUGUAUCAGAGGGAGGGACCUCUGGCACAGAAGCCGCCUCAUGCAGGAGGCUGCGUGGCCAGAGUGGAGGGAGGGAGUGGGCUCUGGGGUACCGGAGUGGGCUGUGAGGUCAGAGAGGUGACGGGGCAACCCCACGUGGUCACAUGAAUGGCCUGAGCUCACUCUUCCUCCACUGCAUGCCUUGCGGAAGGCAGUGCAGAGGGCUGUGGUCUGACGCGAGUUUUCACAGGUUCCUCUCGGCUGCUGGAGGAGGGUGCAUGGAGGGGGCCGGGCAGGGAGGCCAGUGAGCAGCAGCUGCAGCCAGCUUUGCAAAGCGUGAUAGGGCUUGAACCACGGUCAGGUGUGUUGGGGUCCUUCAGCGAAGCAGAUCAGUAGUGAGGAGUUGGCUCACAUGAGGACGGAGGCUGAGAAGUCCUGCCAGCUGCCUCCUGCAAGCCGGAGCCCCGGGAAAGCUGGUGGUAUGGCUCCGGUGUGAGUCUGAGGGCCUGACACCCAAGGAGCUGACGGUGGGCACCCAGUCCCAGGGCAGAAGGCCAGUGUCCCAGCCGGGAGCUGACAGUGGGCACCCAGUCCUAGGGCAGAAGGCCAGUGUCCCAGCCAGGAGCUGACGGUGGGGACCCAGUCCCAGGGCAGGAGAAGGCCAGUGUCCCAGCCGGGAGCUGACGGUGGGCACCCAGUCCCAGGGCAGAAGGCCAGCGUCCCAGCCGGGAGCUGAUGGUGUUGACCCAGUCCCAGGGCAGGAGAAGGCCAGCGUCCCAGCCGGGAGCUGAUGGUGUUGACCCAGUCCCAGGGCAGAAGGCCAGUGUCCCAGCCAGGAGCUGAUGGUGGGGACCCAGUCCCAGGGCAGGAGAAGGCCAGUGUCCCAGCCGGAGCUGAUGGUGGGCACCCAGUCCCAGGGCAGGAGAAGGCCAGUGUCCCAGCCGGGAGCUGAUGGUGGGGACCCAGUCCCAGGGCAGGAGAAGGCCAGUGUCCCAGCCGGGAGCUGAUGGUGGGGACCCAGUCCCAGGGCAGGAGAAGGCCAGUGUCCCAGCCGGGAGCUGAUGGUGGGGACCCAGUCCCAGGGCAGGAGAAGGCCAAUGUCCCAGCCCAAGCAGGCAGGCAGGAAGAAAGAGGCAAUUCCUCCUUCUCCUGCCGACUUGUUCUCUUCAGGCCUUCGAGGGGUUACAUGAUCCCAUGCACACGGGAAGGCACCUGCUCGCCACAGUCCACCACUGCAAAUGCUGGUCUCAUCCAGAGGCACCUCACAGACUCCCCCAAAGACAGCACGUCCCCAGCUAUUGGGUGUCCUGGGCUGGCCAGGUGGACACACAGACCUCACCUGUGCAGGUGGUGAGGAAUAGUUGACUCUGCAUCCAAGUUGGAGGUUGUGGGGUCUUCAUUUGUGCCUGUUUCCUAGGCGGACGUUGUGCCUCUUCUCUGCCCUCCUUCCCCCGGCUCUGCCUGCAGUCAUGUUCCUUGGUCCUGGACAGCCUUGGUGGGGAAGUUUCCAGAAGUGGCGCCUGCUCCAUGCACCCCACAUCAGCCCCAGGGGCUCCUGGUAUCCUAAACCUGCAUCCCUGCUCUUGGCCCGGCUGCCAGGAAUGCUGCCAAUGUCAGUUCCUCUGAAUCAAGGUAUUCUGGGUUUCUCGUCAGCCCAGAAAGGAGGCAUCAUUUAUAAUAGAAAAUUAAAAUGAAAAGAAUAAGAAAGAA
Molecule: non-coding RNA, 3792 nt
Organism: Macaca mulatta (Rhesus monkey)
Lineage: Eukaryota; Metazoa; Chordata; Mammalia; Primates; Cercopithecidae
Source: RefSeq, a predicted model, not a curated record